Molecule: long non-coding RNA, 945 nt
Filed under: Vulpes vulpes (red fox)
Lineage: Eukaryota; Metazoa; Chordata; Mammalia; Carnivora; Canidae
Description: lncRNA (ENSVVUG00000000380.1)
Source: RNAcentral
CUGUGAACGAGAAAGAUCCUGCCACCUAGUAGCUGGAGCAUGGUUCUGGGAAAACCGGAGCCAGAUGUGAUACUGGUAUGAACCAAGGCACCUCAUGACGUCCCUGAUUCAUGGGUUACACAGAGAUAUAUAGACAUUUCCGUACUGAGAACAUUGCCCCACCACUGCUUGGCACUUUGCCUUAGCAUGAUUAAUUGGAGUAUGUAGGUAUUAUAUCACAGGCUCCCCAAACCAGCACCACAACCAAGAGAGAGCACGUUGUAAGUACCUCAGAGUGAUGCAGUUAAACACUCCAAUCAUAAAACAUAUUCAGAGAAAUAAUUAAAAUUAAGACAAUUAGAGUACAAUCCAGAUAAUGUUCUUGGGAACAAGCUCCCACUUAUCUUUGUAAAUUGAGAUUUAUCCUUUAUUUCCCUUUCCACCCGCAGGAAGAAUGACCUAGAAUGUAAAGUGCUAACUCUUCGGGGACUGUCUUAAGAAGGGGAAAAAGAUGCAGGUCAGGCCAGUUUGGACCUGACGGUGCUCCCAAGUGCCACUGUAUCCACAGAGUUCACCGUACCCCUUGUGAUGGGAGCUGCACUUGCCCCUGGAAGAGAAUGGGCCCAACCUGUGAGGAAAAUGAUUUGGACGAUCCUGAACAACCAAAUACAGCUUUUCAGUGGGUGAAUAGAAUUUUGCCAGGGUUCACCCAUGGUUCAUCAUCUUAACUUUGGCAGAGAAAUGUACUUACUCAACUAUCUUCAGCCCAACUUCGCCUGUUGUGAGGUGAAAAACAGGACGUCUCAACUUUAUGGCUUCCAAGUAUAAGUUCCUUUCUCUCUACCCUUCCCAACUGCCUUUUGCUGAAGAACAUGCCCAAGAAAUAGGGAAUGUUUUUCCAAGAUCCCAAUCAUAGUAACAUUUUGGACUAAUAAAUAAAACUCUCUCUCUCUUUUUUUAUAUGCA